GGGUGUGAAGGCGAUCUGGCUGUGACAUUGAUCGACAGGGUUGAUUUGGCUGAUCUGGCUAGCUAGGCGAGUAUCCCCUUCCUCCCUCACUGCUCCUUGUGCAUCCUUCGACAUCCCUUGGCUGUGUGCUCGGUGGAAGAGGACGAUGUCCCAGGUAUAGAAAGAGUGUACCGAGGUCUCCAGUCUUCAGUUCCGGGUAUACGAUAGCUGUGCUCCCCUACUAGGACCUCCAAACAAGCUCAAGGUCCGCUUUUAUAAAGUCUAAUUUAAUGUAACCAUGUCUUAUUGGUGGGUUUCUCGUGGGAGAUCGGUUGGCA
RNAcentral lists this small nuclear RNA (317 nucleotides) under Anolis carolinensis (green anole). Its description in RNAcentral is "7SK RNA". It matches the Rfam family "7SK RNA". From Rfam's summary of the family: 7SK was discovered as an abundant small nuclear RNA in the mid-70s but a possible function has only recently been suggested. Two independent studies have found that 7SK RNA binds the CDK9/cyclin T complex (known as elongation factor P-TEFb). P-TEFb activates transcription by phosphorylating the C-terminal domain of RNA polymerase II. The record is from Rfam by way of RNAcentral. Lineage: Eukaryota; Metazoa; Chordata; Lepidosauria; Squamata; Anolidae.